GGGCGGUUAGCUCAGUUGGCUAGAGCGCCUCGCUUACACCGAGGAGGCCGUUGGUUCGAGUCCAUCACCGCCCACCA
RNAcentral lists this transfer RNA (77 nucleotides) under Actinobacteria bacterium 13_1_20CM_2_65_11. Its description in RNAcentral is "tRNA-Val". It matches the Rfam family "tRNA". From Rfam's summary of the family: Transfer RNA (tRNA) molecules are approximately 80 nucleotides in length. Their secondary structure includes four short double-helical elements and three loops (D, anti-codon, and T loops). Further hydrogen bonds mediate the characteristic L-shaped molecular structure. tRNAs have two regions of fundamental functional importance: the anti-codon, which is responsible for specific mRNA codon recognition, and the 3' end, to which the tRNAs corresponding amino acid is attached (by aminoacyl-tRNA synthetases). tRNAs cope with the degeneracy of the genetic code in two manners: having more than one tRNA (with a specific anti-codon) for a particular amino acid; and 'wobble' base-pairing, i.e. permitting non-standard base-pairing at the 3rd anti-codon position. The record is from RNAcentral. Lineage: Bacteria; Bacillati; Actinomycetota. RNAcentral also lists the same sequence under 3 other names.